Molecule: ribosomal RNA, 431 nt
Filed under: uncultured bacterium
Lineage: Bacteria
Description: partial 16S ribosomal RNA
Rfam family: Bacterial small subunit ribosomal RNA
Source: RNAcentral
AACGAACGCUGGCGGCAGGCUUAACACAUGCAAGUCGAACGCCCCGCAAGGGGAGUGGCAGACGGGUGAGUACCGCGUGGGAACAUACCCUUUUCUACGGAAUAGCUCUGGGAAACUGGAAUUAAUACCGGAUACGCCCUACGGGGGAAAGAUUUAUCGGGGAAGGGUUGGCCCGCGUUGGAUUAGGUGGUUGGUGGGGUAAAGGCCUACCAAGGCGACGAUCCAUAGCUGGUCUGAGAGGAUGAUCAGACACAUUGGGACUGAGACACGGCCCAAACUCCUGCGCGAGGCAGCAGUGGGGAAUAUUGGACAAUGGGCGCUAGCCUGAUCCAGCCAUGCCGCGUGAGUGAUGAAGGCCUUAGGGUUGUAAAGCUCUUUCACCGAUGAAGAUAAUGACGGUAGUCGGAGAAGAAGCCCCGGCUAACUUCGUG